This 129-nucleotide transfer RNA is filed under the name Penicillium salamii. Its description in RNAcentral is "tRNA-Ser". The record is from RNAcentral. Lineage: Eukaryota; Fungi; Ascomycota; Eurotiomycetes; Eurotiales; Aspergillaceae.
GGCGGUUUGGCCGAGUGGUUAAGGCGAUUGAUUCGAACAAAGAAACUUUCUUAUAAGAAAAAUCUUAUAAAAAAAAGUUCUUAAGGAAUCAAUUUCAUUCGUGAGCGCACUCGAGUCGUGCAGCCGUCG